This 269-nucleotide ribosomal RNA is filed under the name uncultured prokaryote. RNAcentral describes it as "partial 16S ribosomal RNA". It matches the Rfam family "Bacterial small subunit ribosomal RNA", at positions 524 to 792 of the family's 1533-position model. The record is from RNAcentral.
UACGGAGGAUCCGAGCGUUAUCCGGAUUUAUUGGGUUUAAAGGGUGCGCAGGCGGGAGACUAAGUCGGCGGUGAAAUUUUGCAGCUCAACUGUAAAAGUGCCUUCGAAACUGGUUUCCUUGAGUGUAGAUGAAGUAGGCGGAAUUUGUGGUGUAGCGGUGAAAUGCAUAGAUAUCACGAGGAACUCCGAUUGCACAGGCAGCUUACUAAACUACUACUGACGCUCAGGCACGAAGGCGUGGGGAUCAAACAGGAUUAGAUACCCCUGUA